Molecule: long non-coding RNA, 999 nt
Filed under: Homo sapiens (human)
Lineage: Eukaryota; Metazoa; Chordata; Mammalia; Primates; Hominidae
Description: long intergenic non-protein coding RNA 518
Source: RNAcentral
UAAGAGUGGGGCCCUAGUCUGAUAGGACUGGUGUCCUUACAAGAAGAGGGAGAGUCCUCAGAGAGUCCUCUCUCUCGGCAUGGACACAAAAGAAAAGCCAUGUGAGGACACAGAGAGAAGGUGGCUGUCUACGAGCUAGGAAGAAAGGCCUCACCGGAAACCAACCCUCACAGCAGCUCCAUCUUGGACUUCCAGCCUCCGGAACUGUGAGAAAAUAAAUGUUUGCAAUUCAGGCUCAGAGCCACUCAGACAUUGGGAAGCAAGUUUGUCAAGAUGACAGAGAACCGAGGUAAUGGAUUCGAGUGAUGAAACAGGAAGUUCAUUCAUGAGUUUUUGGCCACACCUCCAAAGUGACGACUUAGCCAGAAAUGGGAUAACUGGGUUUCCCUACUUCUCUUUUAUCAUCCUCAAUGAGAGUGACCAAAUAUUAGAGCUAGAUGGAACCUUAGUGAAAAUCUGGCUACUCGUCCCGUCCCACCAGCCUGCCACCCAUUUCAAGUUUGAAGAGACAAAGACACAUGGACCUUAUGUAAUUACUGGGGAUUACCCCAGGAGUCUGUGGCAAAAGUCAGCUUCUUCCCUCCCUGCUUCCCCGCCCUGUCUCUGGUACUUUCUACCAACACUGGGCUGUUUCUGUGAUCACACUUAAGCGUACCUAACCUGCGAAUGCUGUAUAGAAGGUGCUAAUGAACAUGAUUUAGCUUUAACACUCAGUUUUCUAAAGGGACACGUGGGGGCAGCAAAUGUUUAGGCAAAAACAAUUCCAGUUCUAGCCUCUACUGUCUACAUAUGUGUAUACAUUUGGGAAACGUUUGGGAAAGGGAUAUUUGAGAGCUUCUUUUUCUUUUUUGUGGUUUAGUUAUUUGAUGAUAUUGAGAUUGUUUCUGAGCCAUGUGCUUCAACAUCGGAUUGGGGAUUUCAGAAAAAGUUUUAGUCACUGUGAUUCCAUUUAGCUUCCAAAUGUGUCUCUGCUAAGAGACUUAAAAGCACUCAUAAAUA